UAGCUGUAGAGGCCGUGCAUUAAAGUU
RNAcentral lists this unclassified non-coding RNA (27 nucleotides) under Mus musculus (house mouse). Its description in RNAcentral is "oocyte_clustered_small_RNA12074". Lineage: Eukaryota; Metazoa; Chordata; Mammalia; Rodentia; Muridae. The record is from RNAcentral.